This 67-nucleotide transfer RNA is filed under the name Marmota monax (woodchuck). Its description in RNAcentral is "tRNA.Ala". The record is from RNAcentral. Lineage: Eukaryota; Metazoa; Chordata; Mammalia; Rodentia; Sciuridae.
GGUUGUGGCUCAGUGGUAAAGCGCUUGCCUAGCAUGCGUGAGGCCCUGGGUUCUGUCCCCAACACCA